RNAcentral lists this ribosomal RNA (446 nucleotides) under uncultured bacterium. RNAcentral's name for it is "SSU rRNA". It matches the Rfam family "Bacterial small subunit ribosomal RNA", at positions 26 to 518 of the family's 1533-position model. The record is from RNAcentral.
AGAGCGAACGCUGGCGGCAGGCUUAACACAUGCAAGUCGAGCGGGCGUAGCAAUACGUCAGCGGCAGACGGGUGAGUAACGCGUGGGAACAUACCUUUUGGUUCGGAACAACACAGGGAAACUUGUGCUAAUACCGGAUAAGCCCUUACGGGGAAAGAUUUAUCGCCGAAAGAUUGGCCCGCGUCUGAUUAGCUAGUUGGUGAGGUAACGGCUCACCAAGGCGACGAUCAGUAGCUGGUCUGAGAGGAUGAUCAGCCACAUUGGGACUGAGACACGGCCCAAACUCCUACGGGAGGCAGCAGUGGGAAUAUUGGACAAUGGGCGCAAGCCUGAUCCAGCCAUGCCGCGUGAGUGAUGAAGGCCCUAGGGUUGUAAAGCUCUUUGUGCGGGAAGAUAAUGACGGUACCGCAAGAAUAAGCCCCGGCUAACUUCGCGCCAGCAGCCGC